CCUACGGGUGUCAGCAGUGAGGAAUAUUGGUCAAUGGACGCGAGUCUGAACCAGCCAAGUAGCGUGAAGGAUGACUGCCCUACGGGUUGUAAACUUCUUUUAUAUGGGAAUAAAGUGAUGCACGUGUGCCUUUUUGUAUGUACUUUAUGACUAAGGAUCGGCUAACUCCGUUCCAGCAGCCGCGGUAAUACGGAGGAUCCUAGAGUUAUCCGGAUUUAUUGGGUUUAAAGGGAGCGUAGAUGGGUUGUUAAGUCAGUUGUGAAAGUUUGCGGCUCAACCGUAAAAUUGCAGUUGAUACUGGCAGUCGUGAGUACAGUAGAGGUAGGCGGAAUUCGUGGUGUAGCGGUGAAAUGCUUAGAUAUCACGAAGAACUCCGAUUGCGAAGGCAGCUUACUAAACUGCCACUGACACUGAGGCUCGAAAGUGUGGGUAUCAAACAGGAUUAGAUACCCGAGUAGUC
Molecule: ribosomal RNA, 460 nt
Filed under: uncultured bacterium
Lineage: Bacteria
Description: partial 16S ribosomal RNA
Rfam family: Bacterial small subunit ribosomal RNA
Source: RNAcentral